RNAcentral lists this unclassified non-coding RNA (334 nucleotides) under soil metagenome. Its description in RNAcentral is "partial contains 5.8S ribosomal RNA, internal transcribed spacer 2, and large subunit ribosomal RNA". The stretch from base 1 to 120 matches the Rfam family "5.8S ribosomal RNA", at positions 35 to 154 of the family's 154-position model. The record is from RNAcentral.
GAUGAAGAACGUAGCGAAAUGCGAUAAGUAAUGUGAAUUGCAGAAUUCAGUGAAUCAUCGAAUCUUUGAACGCACAUUGCGCCCGCCAGUAUUCUGGCGGGCAUGCCUGUUCGAGCGUCAUUUCAACCAUCAAGCCCCGGGCUUGUGUUGGGGACCUGCGGCUGCCGCAGGCCCUGAAAUGCAGUGGCGGGCUCGCUGUCACUCCGAGCGUAGUAGUUACAUCUCGCUCUGGGCGUGCUGCGGGUUCCGGCCGUUAAAAGCCUUAUUUACCCAAGGUUGACCUCGGAUCAGGUAGGAAUACCCGCUGAACUUAAGCAUAUCAAUAAGCGGAGGA